GUUGUUGAAAAUGCAUGAAGGACUCAAAUACUGCAAGUCUACGAAACUUGCAAAUAAUGUGAAUCUCCCUGUAAGAGCCUCUGGAUGCAGAUGUGAAGGGACUUGCACUAAUACAAGAAUUUGUGAUUGUGAAAAAUUAAGUGGAGUUGAUUUUCCAUAUGUUAGCAGAGACGGGGGCAGACUUGUUGUACCAAUAUCAAUUCUAUAUGAACGUGGUUUGUUGUGUGGUUGCGGUGAUGGUUGUGAAAACAAAUCAUUACAUCAUGGGGUUUUCCAUACGGCAAGUAAAGCAUGGGGAGUAAGAAGUUGAGACUUCAUACCCUCUGGUGCUCCUGUAUGCGAAUGAAUACUCGCGCGUGUUUACAAAAUGUAAUCAACAUUGCUGAUUCAUAACAAGACAAUGCUCAUAUUGCAGGUGGUAGAACCAAGAGGGGGCAAGGUGAAACAUGAACUCGACAAAAAAGAAUUGGACUCAUCAAGGUAUUGUGUAUGAUUCACAUCUUGUCGCCACCUCUCCUGUUUUGAAGACCUAAUAAUUUGAAUUAAGCUGUCAAUCAGCAAAUGAAGACACGAAUGGUGAAGUGAUGCCAGUAAAAUGCUACUAAAUUUUAUGGGGGUGUUUUGAAGUUUUUCUAGUUAAGUAGGUGAAAGGAAUUGAAGUUGAGUACUAUUAGGGUUGAAAGUUGUCAGAUAUGAAAUAGGGGUGAUUUCAGUUGUAAUGAAGAUUGCAAUAAAAUGCUCAU
Papaver somniferum (opium poppy) is the source of this 743-nucleotide long non-coding RNA. RefSeq lists it as uncharacterized. The record is from RefSeq and is a predicted model, not a curated record. NCBI's taxonomy places the organism in Eukaryota, Viridiplantae, Streptophyta, Magnoliopsida, Ranunculales, Papaveraceae. The transcript has 5 exons.